CAGUCGCCGCGGUAAUACGGAGGGGGCUAGCGUUGUUCGGAAUUACUGGGCGUAAAGCGUACGUAGGCGGCUUUGUAAGUUAGAGGUGAAAGCCUGGUGCUCAACACCAGAACUGCCUUUAAGACUGCAUCGCUUGAACGUCGGAGAGGUGAGUGGAAUUCCGAGUGUAGAGGUGAAAUUCGUAGAUAUUCGGAAGAACACCAGUGGCGAAGGCGGCUCACUGGACGACUGCUGACGCUGAGGUACGAAAGCGUGGGGAGCAAACAGGAUUAGAUACCCCAGUAGUCCCUGUCUCUUAUAC
Molecule: ribosomal RNA, 301 nt
Filed under: uncultured bacterium
Lineage: Bacteria
Description: partial 16S ribosomal RNA
Rfam family: Bacterial small subunit ribosomal RNA
Source: RNAcentral